This 261-nucleotide ribosomal RNA is filed under the name uncultured bacterium. RNAcentral describes it as "partial 16S ribosomal RNA". The record is from RNAcentral.
GGACUACUGGGGUUUCUAAUCCUUAUUGCUCCCCAAGCCUUCGUCCCUCAACGUCAGUUAUUAGAUAGAAAGUUGCCUUCGCCUUUAUCAGUCCUUUUGGUAUCAUAAAAUAUUAUCUCUACUCCAAAAGUUCUCCCUUUCUCCUAUAAAACUCUAGUAAAAAAGUAUCCCAUAAAGAUUUAAUUUACUGUCUAGGUACCCUUUAAACCUAAUAAAGAUGACUAACACUAGUCUUCUACGUAUUACCGCGGCUGCUGGCAC